RNAcentral lists this long non-coding RNA (423 nucleotides) under Rattus norvegicus (Norway rat). RNAcentral describes it as "long non-coding RNA NONRATT001682". The record is from RNAcentral. Lineage: Eukaryota; Metazoa; Chordata; Mammalia; Rodentia; Muridae.
CAGCCACAGGCUCCCAGACAUGACAGCCAUCAUCAAAGAGAUCGUUAGCAGAAACAAAAGGAGAUAUCAAGAGGAUGGAUUCGACUUAGACUUGACCUAUAUUUAUCCAAAUAUUAUUGCUAUGGGAUUUCCUGCAGAAAGACUUGAAGGUGUAUACAGGAACAAUAUUGAUGAUGUAGUAAGGUAAGCACUUCUGAUUUUCUAUUUCAUAUAUUAAUAAAUUAUAUCGAUGUGUUUUAUUUAGAAAAGAUUCUUAACACACAGAACAGUAUUUGCAUUAUGAUGUAGACUUUGUUUUAUUUUGGUAAUACUCUAAAAGUUUUAACCUAAAGCAUCUGAUAGCUCUCAGCUGAUCAGUUCACCGGAUACGAACUGACUUCAUAUGUAAUCAUAUUUGUUUAUGUCAUGAUGGGUUUUUUUUUG